UGCAAGUCGAGCGGUAGCACAGAGAGCUUGCUCUCGGGUGACGAGCGGCGGACGGGUGAGUAAUGUCUGGGAAACUGCCUGAUGGAGGGGGAUAACUACUGGAAACGGUAGCUAAUACCGCAUAAUGUCGCAAGACCAAAGUGGGGGACCUUCGGGCCUCAUGCCAUCAGAUGUGCCCAGAUGGGAUUAGCUAGUAGGUGGGGUAACGGCUCACCUAGGCGACGAUCCCUAGCUGGUCUGAGAGGAUGACCAGCCACACUGGAACUGAGACACGGUCCAGACUCCUACGGGAGGCAGCAGUGGGGAAUAUUGCACAAUGGGCGCAAGCCUGAUGCAGCCAUGCCGCGUGUGUGAAGAAGGCCUUCGGGUUGUAAAGCACUUUCAGCGGGGAGGAAGGCGAUAAGGUUAAUAACCUUGUCGAUUGACGUUACCCGCAGAAGAAGCACCGGCUAACUCCGUGCCAGCAGCCGCGGUAAUACGGAGGGUGCAAGCGUUAAUCGGAAUUACUGGGCGUAAAGCGCACGCAGGCGGUCUGUCAAGUCGGAUGUGAAAUCCCCGGGCUCAACCUGGGAACUGCAUUCGAAACUGGCAGGCUAGAGUCUUGUAGAGGGGGGUAGAAUUCCAGGUGUAGCGGUGAAAUGCGUAGAGAUCUGGAGGAAUACCGGUGGCGAAGGCGGCCCCCUGGACAAAGACUGACGCUCAGGUGCGAAAGCGUGGGGAGCAAACAGGAUUAGAUACCCUGGUAGUCCACGCCGUAAACGAUGUCGAUUUGGAGGUUGUGCCCUUGAGGCGUGGCUUCCGGAGCUAACGCGUUAAAUCGACCGCCUGGGGAGUACGGCCGCAAGGUUAAAACUCAAAUGAAUUGACGGGGGCCCGCACAAGCGGUGGAGCAUGUGGUUUAAUUCGAUGCAACGCGAAGAACCUUACCUGGUCUUGACAUCCACAGAACUUAGCAGAGAUGCUUUGGUGCCUUCGGGAACUGUGAGACAGGUGCUGCAUGGCUGUCGUCAGCUCGUGUUGUGAAAUGUUGGGUUAAGUCCCGCAACGAGCGCAACCCUUAUCCUUUGUUGCCAGCGGUUCGGCCGGGAACUCAAAGGAGACUGCCAGUGAUAAACUGGAGGAAGGUGGGGAUGACGUCAAGUCAUCAUGGCCCUUACGACCAGGGCUACACACGUGCUACAAUGGCAUAUACAAAGAGAAGCGACCUCGCGAGAGCAAGCGGACCUCAUAAAGUAUGUCGUAGUCCGGAUUGGAGUCUGCAACUCGACUCCAUGAAGUCGGAAUCGCUAGUAAUCGUAGAUCAGAAUGCUACGGUGAAUACGUUCCCGGGCCUUGUACACACCGCCCGUCACACCAUGGGAGUGGGUUGCAAAAGAAGUAGGUAGCUUAACCUUCGGGAGGGC
RNAcentral lists this ribosomal RNA (1403 nucleotides) under Klebsiella sp. SCU-B85. RNAcentral describes it as "bacterial SSU rRNA". It matches the Rfam family "Bacterial small subunit ribosomal RNA". The record is from RNAcentral. Lineage: Bacteria; Pseudomonadati; Pseudomonadota; Gammaproteobacteria; Enterobacterales; Enterobacteriaceae.